RNAcentral lists this ribosomal RNA (446 nucleotides) under uncultured bacterium. RNAcentral's name for it is "SSU rRNA". It matches the Rfam family "Bacterial small subunit ribosomal RNA", at positions 26 to 518 of the family's 1533-position model. The record is from RNAcentral.
AGAAUGAACGCUGGCGGCAUGCCUAACACAUGCAAGUCGAACGAGAUCUUCGGAUCUAGUGGCGCACGGGUGCGUAACGCGUGGGAAUCUACCCUUGGGUUCGGAAUAACAGUUGGAAACGACUGCUAAUACCGGAUGAUGACGUAAGUCCAAAGAUUUAUCGCCUGAGGAUGAGCCCGCGUAGGAUUAGCUAGUUGGUGUGGUAAAGGCGCACCAAGGCGACGAUCCUUAGCUGGUCUGAGAGGAUGAUCAGCCACACUGGGACUGAGACACGGCCCAGACUCCUACGGGAGGCAGCAGUGGGGAAUAUUGGACAAUGGGCGAAAGCCUGAUCCAGCAAUGCCGCGUGAGUGAUGAAGGCCUUAGGGUUGUAAAGCUCUUUUACCCGGGAUGAUAAUGACAGUACCGGGAGAAUAAGCUCCGGCUAACUCCGUGCCAGCAGCCGC